UGAACGCUGGCGGUAGGCCUAACACAUGCAAGUCGAACGGCAGCACAGUAAGAGCUUGCUCUUACGGGUGGCGAGUGGCGGACGGGUGAGGAAUACAUCGGAAUCUACUUUUUCGUGGGGGAUAACGUAGGGAAACUUACGCUAAUACCGCAUACGACCUACGGGUGAAAGCAGGGGAUCUUCGGACCUUGCGCGAUUGAAUGAGCCGAUGUCGGAUUAGCUAGUUGGCGGGGUAAAGGCCCACCAAGGCGACGAUCCGUAGCUGGUCUGAGAGGAUGAUCAGCCACACUGGAACUGAGACACGGUCCAGACUCCUACGGGAGGCAGCAGUGGGGAAUAUUGGACAAUGGGCGCAAGCCUGAUCCAACCAUACCGCGUGGGUGAAGAAGGCCUUCGGGUUGUAAAGCCCUUUUGUUGGGAAAGAAAAGCAGCAGGUUAAUACCCCGCUGUUCUGACGGUACCCAAAGAAUAAGCACCGGCUAACUUCGUG
This 490-nucleotide ribosomal RNA is filed under the name uncultured bacterium. Its description in RNAcentral is "partial 16S ribosomal RNA". It matches the Rfam family "Bacterial small subunit ribosomal RNA", at positions 30 to 507 of the family's 1533-position model. The record is from RNAcentral.